GAGGAAGGUGGGGAUGACGUCAAAUCAUCAUGCCCUUUAUGACCUGGGCUACACACGUACUACAAUGGCGUUAAACAAAGAGAAGCAAGACCGCGAGGUGGAGCAAAACUCAAAAACAACGUCUCAGUUCAGAUUGCAGGCUGCAACUCGCCUGCAUGAAGUCGGAAUUGCUAGUAAUCGCGGAUCAGCAUGCCGCGGUGAAUACGUUCCCGGGCCUUGUACACACCGCCCGUCACACCAUGAGAGCCGGGGGGACCCGAAGUCGAUAGUCUAACCGCAAGGAGGACGUCGCCGAAGGUAAAACUGGUGAUUGGGGUGAAGUCG
Molecule: ribosomal RNA, 324 nt
Filed under: unidentified low G+C gram-positive bacterium
Lineage: Bacteria; Bacillati; Bacillota
Description: SSU rRNA
Rfam family: Bacterial small subunit ribosomal RNA
Source: RNAcentral